This 425-nucleotide ribosomal RNA is filed under the name uncultured bacterium. RNAcentral describes it as "bacterial SSU rRNA". It matches the Rfam family "Bacterial small subunit ribosomal RNA", at positions 506 to 929 of the family's 1533-position model. The record is from RNAcentral.
UGCCAGCAGCCGCGGUAAUACGUAGGGUGCGAGCGUUGUCCGGAAUUACUGGGCGUAAAGAGCUCGUAGGUGGUUUGUCGCGUCGUCUGUGAAAUUCUGGGGCUUAACUCCGGGCGUGCAGGCGAUACGGGCAUAACUUGAGUGCUGUAGGGGUAAUUGGAAUUCCUGGUGUAGCGGUGAAAUGCGUAGAGAUCUGGAGGAAUACCGGUGGCGAAGGCGGCCCCCUGGACGAAGACUGACGCUCAGGUGCGAAAGCGUGGGGAGCAAACAGGAUUAGAUACCCUGGUAGUCCACGCCGUAAACGAUGUCGACUUGGAGGUUGUGCCCUUGAGGCGUGGCUUCCGGAGCUAACGCGUUAAGUCGACCGCCUGGGGAGUACGGCCGCAAGGUUAAAACUCAAAUGAAUUGACGGGGGCCCGCACAAG